AGGCUAAGGCAGAAGAAUCGCUUGAACCUAGGAGGCAGAGGUUGCAGUGAACCGAGAUUGUGCCACUGCACUCCAGCCUGGGCAACAGAGCGAGACUCCGUCUCAAAAAAAAAAAAAAAAAAGACUAUAGGAAAACAGUAAACAACAAGGGCCGGGCGCGGUGGUUCACGCCUGUAAUCCCAGCACUUUGCAAAGCCGAGGGAGGCGGAUCACUUGAGGUCAGGAGUUUGAAACUGUAGCAGGAGAGGUCGUAGACAAAAUCCCUCAGACACCGGAUUGUGGAAGGAACUUCCAUGGAACUUGAGCCUUCGCACAGCGUAUUUUGGCAUCGAAUUUAAAGCUAGUAGAGGUCCGGAAGAUUCCCAGGAUUAAAGUCUUUAAACAGAAAGCGUGAAUCUUGCCUAAGUAAAAGGUACCAUCUCUGGGUGGGCUUGAACCACCAGCCUUUCGGUUCAAACAGCCGAACGCACUAACCUAUUGCGCCACAGAGACUCUAAUGGUUUAGAUUUGCUGAUACCAGAAAUGGCAUUUUAACCUCUGGCGGUAGAUAAUCUCAUAUGUUUGUAGCCUGUCCAAUCCCGCGCACUCCAGAAACCCAGAACACGGGAGACAUUGAAGCCAAGAGUCGAGUCUUUGGGCACGUUUGGACAUUCUACCCGGGCAGAAGUCAGCUGGGGGACUCCAACGGCCAAACGGCCGCCUGCUCCUCACCGUCUGCUCUUCACUGCUUCCCCCGCCUGCUCUUCACCGUCUCAAAAGUCGCCGGCCCCUCUACAGGCGACAACUGCAGCUUCUCAGGCGGAAGUCACUCGCUUUCCCAUUCUUAGCCCCGCUUCACACCUUGAGCUCACAGUCAUUUCCGCCGGGCCUGGGCUAGCGGACGCGCGCGUGGGAAGGACCAGAACCCGUGGUGUCCUCACCGCGUCGCCCUCGGGCCCUCAGAGGUGGGAUCCACCGGACAGGGACCUGGAGUUUGCACAGGCUGCAGCCCUUCGCCCAGAGCCAGCCUAGCACCUGAGCCGGUUUAGAAUCCAGCAAAGGCC
Molecule: long non-coding RNA, 1043 nt
Filed under: Pan troglodytes (chimpanzee)
Lineage: Eukaryota; Metazoa; Chordata; Mammalia; Primates; Hominidae
Description: long non-coding RNA NONPTRT000421
Source: RNAcentral